This 970-nucleotide long non-coding RNA is filed under the name Phoenix dactylifera (date palm). Its description in RNAcentral is "long non-coding RNA (PDAC_LNC013804)". The record is from RNAcentral. Lineage: Eukaryota; Viridiplantae; Streptophyta; Magnoliopsida; Arecales; Arecaceae.
GCUAUCCUUGCCCAUCUAUCUUUGCCUUUUGUUUAAGCCUCUGAGUUUCUUUUAAACCCGGCAAUUCCCUAACCUUCAAUCUUUUAUUCGCCAAUUGCACAAUGGGUUUAGGGCUGUAAAUGGGUUGGAAUUGGGUCAAAUCCAUGUUGUAUCUGCAUCCGACCUUGAUAAGAAAAAUCGAGUUCGGAUCCAUCAAAAUGAGUAAACAUGGAACUAGCUUCCAAACCUGAUUAAUAAUUAGAUUCAAGUUUUCUUGAGGUUCAACUUAGCACAUGAUUUUUGUACACCAACUAGUUAGCAGUUAGCAAUUUCCAAAACUGAAAGAACUCUUAUCACAAUAGUCCUCCGUAAAUAGUGAAUCUUCUUAGUUUUUGGUGAGAAAGGAGCAUGAUCUAAGAGGCGAAUGCUUGGUUUUGAAAAACAAAUCCAAUCACUUUAGAAACAUAUUCGAAUUUCAAUAUACAUCUAGUUUGAUUGAAACGUAAUCAAAAUCUAAGUGUUGGCUUGGAUUUGGAACUAAAAUAGCAACAGGCAAGAGUUAAGUAGAGCAUGCAUGCGAGAAAGACGUAAUUCCAAUUAAGAAGAAAAGGAAUUAACACAAGUCAUGUGGCCAAUUUCUUUAUAUUUCUAUCCUUAUAUUCAGGUUAUUGGGUUUUUGUAUUUGAACAUAGCUGCAUCAGCAUUCAAUCAAAUAAGAAAUCAGAUCCAAUAUAUAGAAUCCGACUUUGAUUUGAUAAGGUUUUUCCCAACUUAAUUUGGAUCUAUACCGCAGUUAUUAUAAAAUAAUCAGAUUGGGCUAUUGAGUUUUCGGGUAUCAUUUACCACAAUAUCCACAUGUCCGAAAGAAAAGAAGCAAAACAGCGCAGAAUCUUUUUAAAAGCAUCCAUGCAUCUUGGCUUUGUAGAACCAUUUAUAAUGGUUAUUGGUCAUUGAGGAGAAAGGAGCACUAUCAUCUUAUUGCUUGUUUCAG